RNAcentral lists this ribosomal RNA (1055 nucleotides) under Frondihabitans sp. U11. Its description in RNAcentral is "bacterial SSU rRNA". It matches the Rfam family "Bacterial small subunit ribosomal RNA", at positions 56 to 1124 of the family's 1533-position model. The record is from RNAcentral. Lineage: Bacteria; Bacillati; Actinomycetota; Actinomycetes; Micrococcales; Microbacteriaceae.
UGCAGUCGAACGAUGAACCAGAGCUUGCUCUGGGGAUUAGUGGCGAACGGGUGAGUAACACGUGAGUAACCUGCCCUUGACUCUGGGAUAAGCGUUGGAAACGACGUCUAAUACCGGAUAUGACACCUGACCGCAUGGUCUGGGUGUGGAAAGAAUUUUGGUCAAGGAUGGACUCGCGGCCUAUCAGGUAGUUGGUGAGGUAACGGCUCACCAAGCCGACGACGGGUAGCCGGCCUGAGAGGGUGACCGGCCACACUGGGACUGAGACACGGCCCAGACUCCUACGGGAGGCAGCAGUGGGGAAUAUUGCACAAUGGGCGAAAGCCUGAUGCAGCAACGCCGCGUGAGGGACGACGGCCUUCGGGUUGUAAACCUCUUUUAGUAGGGAAGAAGCGAAAGUGACGGUACCUGCAGAAAAAGCACCGGCUAACUACGUGCCAGCAGCCGCGGUAAUACGUAGGGUGCAAGCGUUGUCCGGAAUUAUUGGGCGUAAAGAGCUCGUAGGCGGUUUGUCGCGUCUGCUGUGAAAUCUGGGGGCUCAACCCCCAGCCUGCAGUGGGUACGGGCAGACUAGAGUGCGGUAGGGGAGAUUGGAAUUCCUGGUGUAGCGGUGGAAUGCGCAGAUAUCAGGAGGAACACCGAUGGCGAAGGCAGAUCUCUGGGCCGUAACUGACGCUGAGGAGCGAAAGCAUGGGGAGCGAACAGGAUUAGAUACCCUGGUAGUCCAUGCCGUAAACGUUGGGAACUAGAUGUAGGGGCCAUUCCACGGUUUCUGUGUCGCAGCUAACGCAUUAAGUUCCCCGCCUGGGGAGUACGGCCGCAAGGCUAAAACUCAAAGGAAUUGACGGGGGCCCGCACAAGCGGCGGAGCAUGCGGAUUAAUUCGAUGCAACGCGAAGAACCUUACCAAGGCUUGACAUAUACCCGGAAACGUCCAAAAGAUGGUCGCCCCGCAAGGUCGGUAUACAGGUGGUGCAUGGUUGUCGUCAGCUCGUGUCGUGAGAUGUUGGGUUAAGUCCCGCAACGAGCGCAACCCUCGUUCUAUGUUGCCAGCAC